UGCUAUCGUGACGUAUAAUGUAGUGGACGGUUCAUCCAAAACAACAAGUCAACCACCUCGGUAGCUUGCUAGCCAACGUAGCCGAAAGAUUCAAGCUGUUUUUACGCUUUCGGUGUAUAUUAGCUUCUGUGUUUUAGACACACUUCUAUCGUAUAUACUUGUUAGCCUAUUUAAUUUAAUGUUACGUUUUUUUAAAAUUAGUCAGAUAUAGUAGCUGGCUGGUUAAAUUAGCACUAGCUUAGUCGCUAAUGAUAGCUAGCUAGCUAAUAUCCCCGAACAUGAGGUCAGUAAGCUUCUCUCCUCCUGCUAAAGAAGAAGGGGUCUGCUGGACGGAGAAAGAAGCUCUGGGGAUGAACAUUGUCGUGAAAGAGGAGAAGGAAGAGGAGGAUGUCACAGUUAAAAAAAUAAAUUGAGGGCGAGGCUGUUACAGUGAAAGAGGAAGACGUUACAGUGAAAGAGGAGGAUGAGAAAGAGGAUGCCGUUUUUGACGUGAAGAAGGAAGGGGAGAUUUCUGUCACAUUGAAAGAUGAAGAGGUGGAGGUAGGAGAUCUGAUUUACAUCAGUAAGUACCGCCGUAAAUUGGGUUUUCCACUUUGGAUAUUCGGAGUUGUCUCGUCAAUACCUCAUCAAGGGAGGGCCCUAGGAUGAUGACUGAUAUGUCUAGAAUCAGACGACGUGGAGAGCAAGCUACCCCUUGUUUUCUCCGUUCCGUUUUCAAAAAGUGACUUAACAUAUAUAUUUGAGAAGGGUCUAUCAGGGGAGCACGGGAUUUAAGUUUUAAGCCGUUUCCAGCUACAAUGGUCAUUUACAACAUUAACAAUGUCUACACUGUAUUUCUGAUCAAUUUUAUGUUAUUUUAAUGGACAAAAAAAUGUGAUUUUCUUUCAAAAACAAGGACGUUUCUAAGUGACCCCAACUUUUGAACGGUAGUGUACAUCUACAUGAUGUAUUGUUACACCCUCUAGGAGCAGUAUAGACCUAGUCUGUUCAUUAUAUACAUCUACAUCAUGUAUUGUUACACCAUGUAGGAGCAGUAUAGACCUAGUCUGUUCAUUAUAUACAUUUACAUGAUGUAUUGUUACACCAUGUAGGAGCAGUAUAGACUUAGUCUGUUCAUUAUAUACAUCUACAUGAUGUAUUGUUACAACAUUUAGGAGCAGUAUAGACCUAGUCUGUUCAUUAUAUACAUCUACAUGAUGUAUUGUUACACCAUGUAGGAGCAGUAUAGACCUAGUCUGUUCAUUAUAUACAUCUACAUGAUGUAUUGUUACACCAUGUAGGAGCAGUAUAGACCUAGUCUGUUCAUUAUAUAUGUCUACAUGAUGUAUUGUUACACCAUGUAGGAGCAGUAUAGACCUAGUCUGUUCAUUAUAUACAUCUACAUGAUGUAUUGUUACACCAUGUAGGAGCAGUAUAGACCUAAUCUGUUCAUUAUAUACAUCUACAUGAUGUAUUGUUACACCAGGUAGGAGCAGUAUAUACCUAGUCUAUUCAUUAUAUACAUCUACAUGAUGUAUUGUUACACCAGGUAGGAGCAGUAUAGACCUAGUCUGUUCAUUAUAUACAUCUACAUGAUGUAUUGUUACACCAUGUAGGAGCAGUAUAGACCUAGUCUGUUCAUUAUAUACAUCUACAUGAUGUAUUGUUACACCAUGUAGGAGCAGUAUAGACCUAGUCUGUUCAUUAUAUACAUCUACAUGAUGUAUUGUUACACCAUGUAGGAGCAGUAUAGACCUAGUCUGUUCAUUAUAUACAUCUACAUGAUGUAUUGUUACACCAUGUAGGAGCAGUAUAGACCUAGUCUGUUCAUUAUAUACAUCUACAUGAUGUAUUGUUACACCAUGUAGGAGCAGUAUAGACCUAGUCUAUUCAUUAUAUACAUAUACAUGAUGUAUUGUUACACCAUGUAGGAGCAGUAUAGACCGACAGUAGCUGGCUACUUAUUUAGAUUUAGUUUGACCUAAUGAAACUGCCUUAAAUGUGCUGUAGCAAAAUAAAAUGUAUUCGCACUAAUCAAUCAACACAUUCCUGUCUUUGUAUGUCUCAAUAUAAUAGUAUUAUUUAAUGAAAUCCAUUUAAAAUAAUAUUUUCCUCAACUGCGUUUCCCACUCCAGUCAGCAGACGGCGAUUUGCGUCGUUCUGGCGAUGCUGCUAACGUGACGUAUAAUGUAGUGGACGGGUCUUCAAAAACAACAAGUCAACCACCUCGGUAGCUUGCUAGCCAACGUAGCCGAAAGAUUAAAGCUGUUUUUACGCUUUCGGUGUAUAUUAGCUGCUGUGUUUUAGACACACUUCUAUCGUAUCUACUUGUUAACCUAUUUAAUUUAAUAUGACGUUAUUUUUUAUUAGUCAGAUAUAGUAGCUGGCUGGUUAAAUUAGCACUAGCUUAGUUGCUAAUGAUAGCUAGCUAGCUAACAUCCCCGAACAUGAGGUCAGUAAGCUUCUCCCCUCCUGCUAAAGAAGAGCUCUGCUGGACGGAGAAAGAAGCUCUGGGGCUGAACAUUGUCGUGAAAGAGGAGAAGGAAGAAGAGGAUGUCACAGUUAAAAAAUAAAUUGAGGGUGAGGCUGUUACAGUGAAAGAGGAAGAAGUGUUCACAGUGAAAGAGGAGGAUGAGAAUGAGGAUGCCGUUUUUGACGUGAAGAAGGAAGGGGAGAUUUCUGUCACAUUGAAAGAUGAAGAGGUGGAGGUAGGAGAUCUGAUUUACAUCAGAGAGAGACGUGACUAUCGUGGAUCUUCUGGGGAGCCUCAACAUCAUGAAGCUGACGAGGCAGAGAAGAGUCCCUCCCGAUCAGAACACCUCAAGAAACACCAGAGGAGACCCACAGGGAAGAAAUCUCACUGCUCUGACUGUGGGAAAGGUUGCAAAUCUUCAUCAGAACUUAAAAUACACCAGCGAGUACACACAGGAGAGAAAUCUGACCACUGUUUUGAUUGUGGGAAGAGUUACUUAAGAUCAGAAUCACUAAAAGUACACAUGAGAAUUCACACUGGAGAGAAACCUUAUAGCUGUACUCAAUGUGGGAAGAGGUUUAAUCACUCAAGCUGCCUGAUGGUACAUCUGAGAGCACACACCGGAGAGAAACCUUACCACUGCUCUGACUGCGGAAAGAGUUUUGUUGUUCAACAGAUUUAAAAUCACACCAGAAAAUACACAGAGUAGAGAAACCUUUUAACUACUCAAUGUGGGAAGAGGUUUAAUCAAUCAAGCUGGCUGAUAGUACAUCUGAGAGCACACACAGGAGUGAAACCUUAUAGCUGUGAUCAAUGUGGGAAGAGAUUUGUUACAUCUAGCCAUCUGACUAUACACCAGAGAACACACACAGGAGAGAAAUCUUAUAGCUGUGAUCAAUGUCACAAGAGAUACUCUGAUAAAAGAUCUCUGAUCAAACAUCAGAAAAUACAUAUAUGAAGUAGUUGUUUCAUGAUAUCAAUGAAAUGUCACAAUGUAGAAUAUUUGAAUGAUGUCACAAUGUAGAAUGUUUUAACAUUGUAGUAGGAAUACAAAGGAUUUGAAUUUGAUAAAAGUCCAUAUUGAUACAGAAACACUAAACCAUGAUUUAGAUGUAUUAAGAACAAGUUGAUUGACAAAGUCAUGAAAAAUGGAAUAAACCACAUUUUGACAAUGAUAAAAGAUAUGGCUCUGGUGUCAAAAUGAUCCAUGUCAGAACUAUGGUUCAAUGUAAAUAUGUAGUGGGUCUAAAGUUUGUUUUAAAUUGUCACUCAUUAAAUAAAUGAAAAUAAACUUUUGGUUCCUCAACUGCGUUGCCCACUCCAGUCAGCAGAAAGAGAUGCAGCAGAAGUGCGUCUUUUUAUAUUUGAUUUGAUUUAUAUAUUUUUUUAUUCAAAAUGCAGAUCUACAAUUUACAUUGUUACAUCAUACAAAACAGAACACAGGUAUUAACAAGAAAAUACUAAAACAGACAAAAACUAUAAAUAAUUAACUAUUCUAGUGUGGUUGUAAUCACUCUGAAAAAAUCUAUAAUGAUUCAGGAAGAUGUUAUUGUUGUUGUUAUUCACUAGGAUUAAUGUUUUAAUAAAAUAGUUACAUUCAAUCAGAAAAAUGUAGAAUUUUGGUAUAGAAUUUUUGUUUGUGUAUAAAGUUUGUGUAUUUGGCAACAAGAAUUAAAAAAAAGAACAAUCA
Salvelinus fontinalis (brook trout) is the source of this 4142-nucleotide long non-coding RNA. RefSeq lists it as uncharacterized. The transcript is spliced from 2 exons. The record is from RefSeq and is a predicted model, not a curated record. Lineage: Eukaryota; Metazoa; Chordata; Actinopteri; Salmoniformes; Salmonidae.